Molecule: ribosomal RNA, 424 nt
Filed under: uncultured bacterium
Lineage: Bacteria
Description: bacterial SSU rRNA
Rfam family: Bacterial small subunit ribosomal RNA
Source: RNAcentral
AGGAAUAUUGCGCAAUGGGCGAAAGCCUGACGCAGCGACGCCGCGUGAAGGAUGACGGUCUUCGGAUUGUAAACUUCUGUUAAGCGGGAAGAACGGUCAGCCUCUAAUAUAGGUUGAAGAUGACGGUACCGCUAGAGACAGCACCGGCUAACUUCGUGCCAGCAGCCGCGGUAAUACGAGGGGUGCAAACGUUAUUCGGAUUUACGGGGUGUAAAGGGUGUGUAGACGGUUUGUUAAGUUUGUUGUUAAAUCUUCCGGCCUAACUGGAAGCUUGCGAUGAAAACUGGCAAACUUGAGAAUGAAAGAGAGAAGUGGAAUUCUCGGAGUAGCGGUAAAAUGCGUAGAUCUCGAGAGGAACACCGAUGGCGAAAGCAGCUUCUUGGUUCAUUUCUGACGUUGAGACACGAAAGCGUGGGGAGCAAAC